Molecule: transfer RNA, 70 nt
Filed under: Caudoviricetes sp.
Lineage: Duplodnaviria; Heunggongvirae; Uroviricota; Caudoviricetes
Description: tRNA-Pro
Rfam family: tRNA
About the family: Transfer RNA (tRNA) molecules are approximately 80 nucleotides in length. Their secondary structure includes four short double-helical elements and three loops (D, anti-codon, and T loops). Further hydrogen bonds mediate the characteristic L-shaped molecular structure. tRNAs have two regions of fundamental functional importance: the anti-codon, which is responsible for specific mRNA codon recognition, and the 3' end, to which the tRNAs corresponding amino acid is attached (by aminoacyl-tRNA synthetases). tRNAs cope with the degeneracy of the genetic code in two manners: having more than one tRNA (with a specific anti-codon) for a particular amino acid; and 'wobble' base-pairing, i.e. permitting non-standard base-pairing at the 3rd anti-codon position.
Source: RNAcentral
GAGUGUGUAGUGUAAUGGUAACACGCUGGUUUUGGGAACCAGAAAAGCAGUUCGAAUCUGACACAUUCUA